Molecule: ribosomal RNA, 373 nt
Filed under: uncultured bacterium
Lineage: Bacteria
Description: bacterial SSU rRNA
Rfam family: Bacterial small subunit ribosomal RNA
Source: RNAcentral
ACAGAGGGUGCAAACGUUGUUCGGAAUUACUGGGCGUAAAGCGCGUGUAGGCGGCAAGGCAAGUCGGAUGUGAAAGCCCACGGCUCAACCGUGGAAGUGCACCCGAAACUGCCUAGCUAGAGUCUCGGAGAGGAAGGUGGAAUGCUUGGUGUAGAGGUGAAAUUCGUAGAUAUCAAGCGGAACACCGGUGGCGAAGGCGGCCUUCUGGACGAUGACUGACGCUGAGACGCGAAAGCGUGGGGAGCAAACAGGAUUAGAUACCCUGGUAGUCCACGCCGUAAACGAUGAGUGCUAGGUGUCACGGGCUUUGACCCUCGUGGUGCCGAAGCUAACGCGUUAAGCACUCCGCCUGGGGAGUACGGCCGCAAGGCUA